Molecule: non-coding RNA, 657 nt
Filed under: unclassified sequences
Description: ROOL RNA
Rfam family: ROOL RNA
About the family: Firmicutes, Fusobacteria (1 example), Tenericutes (1 example).
Source: Rfam by way of RNAcentral
AUUGAAAAUUAAACACCUUGAUAAGUCAGUGAAGAAGUUCUGAACAGCCUGCUGACAAUCUCAUCUGCCUUAAGACUCUCAUUUCUUGAAAACAUCGGGAUACUGGUGACAAGACGUGGUUCUUGCUGGCGACAGUGUAGAAGAAUCUAGUAGAGGCCGUGAAACCGCAUAACGGUCGCUAGAAAGAAGCAUUGAGAUUAUGAAUCAAGAAAAAGAGAUAGAGCACAGUUAAACUCUACUACCUGAAGAAUAGACGACUCGGUGAGUAAUAAGCCUGCAGACUCUAAGAACUAACGACUCUUAGAUUAAGGUAGGCAGAUUGUUGACAUUGUUGCCGCAAGGUGCAAUCUUCAGUAAUCGUGUUAGUAAGGGUAGAUCGUGGAGGUAUUAAAAUCAGCAGUUAAGGUUUUGAUAUGUCAUAGAGGAAACUGGUACGAGUAGCUUAACACGAGAGCAGGUUGACCAAGAAGAUCAUAAUAUUUCUUAAUUCAACUCUGAACGUUCGGUGAAAGUUAGAUCCAUCGCGAUACUCGAUCUUUGGAAAUGGAAUGUAAGCAUUGAGGUAGCUCCUCAGUGUUCAGAGCAUUCUAGUCGUCGCUCAACAAUCUUUGAAGCUUGUGAAGUAGAGAGAAAUCUCAUCAAGGUGUGUGGCAUUAU